AUGGACGUGGAGCUCGUUGAAAAUAUGCUAGCUAUAGCUGAGCCCAACACUAGAAGCUUGAUCUUUUCAAUGAUGGAUUCAUUAUCUCAUGUGGAGUUUACAAAGCUUGAUCUUUUCAAUGAAGACGGGGGUGAUCAGCGCAAUAUGCAAGAUGACCCAGGGUUUUACUUGGGCUCCUUGGCUCUGGUUCCCCCUAGAUUGAGUGACCCGAUGACUUGGGAGGCCCUAUCUCCUCUUAAAACUUUGGCCCUUGCGGAAGACCUGAUGAUUCAGCGGUUGAGGAUUGCAUCACUGCACAUCAGUCAUCAUAGGAUAUAUGCACACUUGGACCUAUUAACACCCUCAUCAAGGAGAUCAACGAAAAGAGAGGCCUGCUCAAUUGUUCAUGUAGGGUGUUCCACUAAUAUGGAGGUACACCACCUAGUGAAACAUGCUUUGAACUUAGCUGGGGUCACUACAUGUGGCUCCUGA
This 471-nucleotide ribosomal RNA is filed under the name Triticum aestivum (bread wheat). RNAcentral describes it as "partial small subunit ribosomal RNA". Lineage: Eukaryota; Viridiplantae; Streptophyta; Magnoliopsida; Poales; Poaceae. The record is from RNAcentral.